Molecule: RNA transcript, 4173 nt
Organism: Dreissena polymorpha
Lineage: Eukaryota; Metazoa; Mollusca; Bivalvia; Myida; Dreissenidae
Exons: 6
Source: RefSeq, a predicted model, not a curated record
GUGGCGCGCCAGCCGCUGUAGCCGAUAGUAAACAACAUGGCGACAGGCUUUGCAGGUCACGUAGCAAAUUCUGGAAUAAAGCAGCGCUACAUCCCAGACGAAGAUCCUGAAUAUGAUCCUUCGCUGCCGUAUGGAGGGAAGGUGUUUCUAGCGAGGAAAAAGAAGCCAGAUCCAUUUCACAUUCGUGCGUUUGAGGCGUUUGCCAUUUUUGCAACUGUGGCAUUUGCAAUCUACGCUUACUUCUACUUUGAUCACCUGCAUUUUCAUGUCACACAUGCAUACGCCCACCUGGGGUACCCCUCAGCACAACAUCAAGUUGGACAAAGAUACCUGCAUGGCAAGGGUGUGGACAAAGACCAUGAGAAGUCCAUGGAGUGGUUUCGGAAGGCUGCCGAACAAGGCCACGCUCAUGCCUCAUACAACCUGGCAGUGGGUCAUUUGAAGGGGAUCAAAACAGACCUAAAACCAGGUGAAGCCCACAAGUUGAUCCAUCAUGCAGCAUCGAAAGGGGUGAAGGAAGCUCACAAGGUUCUCAACAAUGUCUGCACACGUGGUGGAUGUACCAACUAGAUUUCUGAUGGCUUGCUGCAACUAAAUUCCUUGGAGAGCACAGUUUACUGAAAAUGAAUCUUUGCUUAGGCACCCAAAAUACUAAAGAUAGUUGUCCGUCCAUAAAAACUUUGUUGCUAUCGUUUUCUCACAGUUAUGUAGCUGAUCUGGUUGUUUUUCAUGGUUUUUAGUGAUUAGUUUUAUAAUAAUUAUGAAGUAUUGAAACACUUUAUGUUGUUUCUUAGUAGAUAAUAUCAAAAUCAUGAACACUGACUUUGAAAAUUUCUAUUCAUUGAGAAUUCUUAGGAGGUGCGUUAUUCUCGUUAUUUUUUUUUAUCCCCGCCGAAAACAAAAUCUGAGGGGAUAUAGUAAUUGGUCCUGUCCGUCUGUCCGUCUGACUGAAACUUUGUCCAGAGCAUAACUCCAAAUCUAUUCAAUGGAUUUACUUUAAACUUAGAAUAUAAACAGAUGGCAACUAGGAGAAGUGCAGUGACCAAGAGCCAUAACUCUAUCUACCUUAGUUUUUGAAUUAUCUCCCCUGUUAUAUAACUUUAUAAAGUAAAUUUUUGUCCGGAGCAUAACUCUAAAUAUACUAAAGGGAUUUAUUUGAAACUUGAAAUAUAAACAGAUGGCAACUAGGAGAAGUGCAGUGACCAAGAACCACAACUCUAUCUACCUUAGUUUUUGAAUUAUCUCCCCUUUUAUAUAAUUUUAAAGUAAUUUUUUGUCCGGAGCAUAACUCUUAAUCUACAGAAGGGAUUUACUUGAAACUUGAAAUAUAAACAGAUGGCAAGUAGGAAAAGUGCAGUGACUAAGAACCCUUUCAUAUAAUUUUAAAGUAAAUUUUUGUCCAGGGCAUAACUCUAAAUCUUAUGAAGGGAUUUACUUGAAACUUAAACAGAUGGCAAGUAGGAGAAGUGCAGUGACAAAGAACCAUAACUAUAUCUACCUUAGUGUUUGGAUUAUAUCCCUUAAUUUAAUUCCAAAGUAAACUUUUGUCCGGAGCAUAAUGAAUUAUCUUCCUUUAUUUGUUUUUACAAAUAUUAUUCUACUCUCUAAAACAAAUGUUGUCAUACGAGCAAACACAUUUCGGCGGGGAUUUGGCACUACUGUGACAAGCUCUUGUUUUAAUUAUUGUGAGUUAAGUUUUCCUUUGAAACCUUAUUGUUACUGUGACUUAAUGUUUAUGAAAUUUGUCAACAUUGUGUUUGCAAUGUAUUUAAUUAGUCUCCUACUUUUGUUGAACCAUGCUUUGGGAGAAACAGGCUUAACUGAUGUGGCAGAAGUAUCGGACCUGAUUGGGAUGACACUUCCCACUUUUAUGAUAUUUUUUGGUUAAAGGAGAUCCCUUCUAAACAAGCAUCCAUUCUAGUGGAAAGUGUUGUCUCUGAUUAGUCUGAAUCUGGGACAUGGUUGUAAAGGUUUACAGUCAAAACAGCCCCAAGUCAAAACGGUCCCUAGUCAAAAUGACCGAAAACCAAAGCAAAGUGGGGCCGUUUUGACUAUUAUCGAAUAGGGGCCGUUUUGACUGGGGCCGAUUUGACUAGCUCCCUGGGACAUCACUUUAUGCACAUGUGUUAAGCCCAGUUUUCUGAAAGCACCAUUAAAGGGGCCUUUUCACAGAUUUUGGCAUUUUUUUAAAUUAUUCAUUAAAUGCGUUAUAUUGAUAAAUGUAACCAUUGGAUCAUAAAAGCUCCAGUAAAAAAUCAAGAAAAAAAAUUAAAAAAAGGAAAAGAACAUUGCCCGGAGCAGGUUUCGAACCAGUGACCCCUGGAGUCCUGCAAGAGUCCUGAAGUAAAAACGCUUUAGCCUACUGAGCUAUUCCGCCGAGUACACAUUCGUGGCAUAUUUUAUACCUUAUAUAAGCAAUCUUCGUAAUUUCACAAAAUUUAACGACAAAAACAGAACUCUCCAAAUUAUUCAAUCGUUUCGCGUUGCAACGCUUUAUGGCUAUAUUAGAGCAUGGUUAAUGUUCAGUAUUACUGUUUCCUCACAAAUAUCAUAACUAAAACAAAAACUUACGAAUCUGAAACAACUUUUUUCAAUUUUGUCAAUUUACCAAAGCGUGAAAAGAUCCCUUUAAUAUCUAUUGUGUUUCUGUCCGUUUCUUAAUUCUCAUGUUCUCUAUUGCACUAAGUGUUGAUUUGAAAGUGGUGUUGUUAUUUUAGACUACCGUAAUUGCUCUAUGUUUUCGGACACUUAAAAAUAAUUAUUUUUGUUCGUGUCCGAAAACUUAGAUACGAAAAAUAUUCACAAAAUACAGUUGUCUGAAAACUUAGAGUCGAAAAUUGAAGUGUUUGAAAAUAGCAUCAAUUGUAUCAACGACUACCGGUAAUAGCACGCGCUUAUGUUUAAUAAUUUUAAAUGCUUAAUUCAUUUGACAGAAAGUUACUACAAGGUUGUACUUUGACCAACGAGUUCAAUGAUGAGCAUUUGAUGUAUCGAUCAUUUCAUUUCCGAAAGCUUUUGUUUAAUACCUUCUAUUGUUCGUAAAACUUGCAAUAGGGUGCAUCACACUUUGAAGCGUUUGGUAUUUGUCACAGUUAUUUUAUUGAUAACGGGUAGUUCCAUUGCGGUAGAUAAUUGAACUGUUAAUUGGCACUACCCCUGAUAAUUGUCAUAAGGCUUAUGCUAUCAGGCGAAACCAUUGUUCAAUACAGGUUUGCAAGGUUAUUUACCCAAUAACGCAAAUGUAAUGGUGCGUUGCACUCAGGCAUGCACCUGCCAUAUUUUAUGAUUUAAAUCUUGUUGUAAAACCCUAUGAUCGAAGUGUCAUUAGAUAUCGAAAACAGGACCGAAAUUUUGUAAAAUAGCGCUGUAAAAUAUACUGUCCGAAAACUUAGGGACAUUAAUUAUGGACGAAACGCGUGUGUCCGAAAAUUAAGAGUCACGAAAAAUAAUUAUUUUUGCCAAAAAAGGGGGUGUCAGAAAACUUAGAGUGUCCGAAAACAUAGAGUAAUUACGGUACCUACCCUUUUAUAAAGAAUUUUAUUAAUGGUUGUUUGUUUUUCUGCUUGAAAUAUGUGUUAGUUUUUUAUGUUUACAAUUUUGGUAGAUUACACAUAUGUAUCAUUCCAUUAAAUAUCUGAGAAAAUAAUUAUUAAAUCCGUGUUUAAAUUUACACAACUUUAUUGUUUGUGAUUUGUUUUAUUAUUGGUUGUAUUGCUAAAAUAAACCAAACUAGUCAAUGUCCUAUCAAUAAUUAUUAUGCAGUAUUUGUUGUUAUUUUGUGUUGUUCAAAUUCAAUUAUGCAGAUUUAAAAAAAAAUUGUAUUAUGAAAAUAAAUAACUGUAUUUUCAUGAAGUAAUUAAAUUUAAUUGUAAAAAAAAAUUACCACAACAUAAAAAAACUCUUACUUAGUCAUCUCAAUUUUUUUUUAAAUAUUUAAGCCAUGUUUUUCUUUUUAAAAGAGUGAUCAAAUCUUUUUUUGAUAGGGGCUUUCAAAUGUCAAAGUUUCGAAGUUCUGGCUAAUGAGGUUACCUGGUCACGGUUUUAAUCUUUUUAUUUGUUAGAUUUGUUAUCAUUUUUAAUUUAAGACCUUCACGUCGAGUUAGUGUAUACCAGUAUAUGUUUAUUCAUUUUGUUAGAAAAUUUAUUAGACAAUGUGAUUUAUUAGACAAUAAA